UUACAUUGUUGCACAUUGUGUAGAGAAAGCCUUAUGAACACAUGCAGAUCUCUUAUUUAAGAAUAUUUUUGCUGGAUAAUUACAUGGAGAAUAUUCUAUAUAAGAAUCUUGGGGAGUCUGCAUACUAAAUUGGUAGAUGCUAGAUAAUUACAUAAAAUCAAGGUUUUUUAAACUCAGUCCAGUCAUUAAAUCAGUGAAAGUAGAGAGUUAAAG
RNAcentral lists this unclassified non-coding RNA (213 nucleotides) under Hevea brasiliensis (rubber tree). Lineage: Eukaryota; Viridiplantae; Streptophyta; Magnoliopsida; Malpighiales; Euphorbiaceae. The record is from RNAcentral.